RNAcentral lists this ribosomal RNA (385 nucleotides) under uncultured bacterium. Its description in RNAcentral is "bacterial SSU rRNA". It matches the Rfam family "Bacterial small subunit ribosomal RNA", at positions 30 to 416 of the family's 1533-position model. The record is from RNAcentral.
AUUGAACGCUGGCGGCAUGCCUUACACAUGCAAGUCGAACGGCAGCGGACCUUCGGGUGCCGGCGAGUGGCGAACGGGUGAGUAAUGCAUCGGAACGUGCCAUUGAGUGGGGGGAUAACGUAGCGAAAGUUACGCUAAUACCGCAUAUUCUGUGAGCAGGAAAGCAGGGGACCGCAAGGCCUUGCGCUCUUUGAGCGGCCGAUGUCAGAUUAGCUAGUUGGUGAGGUAAAGGCUUACCAAGGCGACGAUCUGUAGCGGGUCUGAGAGGAUGAUCCGCCACACUGGAACUGAGACACGGUCCAGACUCCUACGGGAGGCAGCAGUGGGGAAUUUUGGACAAUGGGCGCAAGCCUGAUCCAGCCAUGCCGCGUGAGUGAAGAAGGCC